This 69-nucleotide transfer RNA is filed under the name Citharoides macrolepis (twospot largescale flounder). RNAcentral's name for it is "tRNA-Asp". It matches the Rfam family "tRNA". Rfam says of the family: Transfer RNA (tRNA) molecules are approximately 80 nucleotides in length. Their secondary structure includes four short double-helical elements and three loops (D, anti-codon, and T loops). Further hydrogen bonds mediate the characteristic L-shaped molecular structure. tRNAs have two regions of fundamental functional importance: the anti-codon, which is responsible for specific mRNA codon recognition, and the 3' end, to which the tRNAs corresponding amino acid is attached (by aminoacyl-tRNA synthetases). tRNAs cope with the degeneracy of the genetic code in two manners: having more than one tRNA (with a specific anti-codon) for a particular amino acid; and 'wobble' base-pairing, i.e. permitting non-standard base-pairing at the 3rd anti-codon position. Lineage: Eukaryota; Metazoa; Chordata; Actinopteri; Pleuronectiformes; Citharidae. The record is from RNAcentral.
AAGGCACUAGUAAAGCUAUUACACCGCCUUGUCAAGGCGGAAUUACGGGUUAAACCCCCGUGUACCUUA